RNAcentral lists this unclassified non-coding RNA (352 nucleotides) under Hevea brasiliensis (rubber tree). Lineage: Eukaryota; Viridiplantae; Streptophyta; Magnoliopsida; Malpighiales; Euphorbiaceae. The record is from RNAcentral.
AAGCAAUAUAUAGCUGCCUUUGAUGGAUUUAAAGUUCUUGGAUUGCCAUACAAACAAGGAUCUGACCCACGUCGUUUUUCAAUGUACAUCUUUCUUCCAGAUUCGAAGGAUGGAUUGCCAUCUUUGAUUCAAAAAUUAGAUUCCCAAUCCGGGUUCAUUGACUGCCACAUUCCAUAUGAAAAACUUAAAGUGGGCGAAUUCAAGAUUCCAAAGUUCAAAAUUUCUUUUGGGAUUGAAGUUUCCAAUGUUCUGAAGGGGUUAGGAUUGGUGUUACCUUUCUCUGAAGGAGGUUUGUUAGAAAUGGUGGAGACCCAAAUGGCUCAAGGCCUUCAUGUUUCAAAAAUAUUCCAUA